UCGCGGCUUAUCACCGGCAGUCCCCUUAGAGUGCCCAACUGAAUGAUGGCAACUAGAGACGGGGGUUGCGCUCGUUGCGGGACUUAACCCAACACCUCACGGCACGAGCUGACGACAGCCAUGCAACACCUAUCGCAGGCCCUUACGGACACCACGUUUCCGCGGCUUUUCCUGCGUAGUUCAGCCCAGGUAAGGUUCUUCGCGUUGCAUCGAAUUAAGCCACAUGCUCCGCCGCUUGUGCGGGUCCCCGUCAAUUCCUUUGAGUUUUAGCCUUGCGGCCGUACUCCCCAGGCGGCGCGUUUAUCGCGUUAGCUUCGCCACGAGCGGGGUCGAUUCCGCCCACAGCAAAUGCGCACCGUUUACGGCUAGGACUAC
Molecule: unclassified non-coding RNA, 375 nt
Filed under: uncultured bacterium
Lineage: Bacteria
Description: contains 16S-23S intergenic spacer region
Source: RNAcentral